UACAGAGGUCCCAAGCGUUGUUCGGAUUCAUUGGGCGUAAAGAGCUCGUAGGCGGUUCGGCAAGUCGGGUGUGAAAUUUCGAGGCUCAACCUCGAAACGCCACUCGAUACUGCUGUGACUGGAGUCCGGUAGAGGAGUGCGGAAUUCCUGGUGUAGCGGUGAAAUGCGCAGAUAUCAGGAGGAACACCAACGGCGAAGGCAGCACUCUGGGCCGGUACUGACGCUGAGGAGCGAAAGCGUGGGGAGCAAACAGG
RNAcentral lists this ribosomal RNA (254 nucleotides) under uncultured bacterium. Its description in RNAcentral is "partial 16S ribosomal RNA". It matches the Rfam family "Bacterial small subunit ribosomal RNA", at positions 524 to 776 of the family's 1533-position model. The record is from RNAcentral.